This 830-nucleotide ribosomal RNA is filed under the name Plectosphaerella cucumerina. RNAcentral's name for it is "partial large subunit ribosomal RNA". It matches the Rfam family "Eukaryotic large subunit ribosomal RNA", at positions 79 to 933 of the family's 3401-position model. Lineage: Eukaryota; Fungi; Ascomycota; Sordariomycetes; Glomerellales; Plectosphaerellaceae. The record is from RNAcentral.
CUCAGUAACGGCGAGUGAAGCGGCAACAGCUCAAAUUUGAAAUCUGGCUCCUUCGGGGUCCGAGUUGUAAUUUGCAGAGGAUGCGUCGGGUACGGGUCCCUACCGAGUUCCCUGGAACGGGACGCCAUAGAGGGUGAGAGCCCCGUCUGGUAGGAUACCCAGCCCAUGUGACGCUCCCUCGACGAGUCGAGUAGUUUGGGAAUGCUGCUCUAACGGGAGGUAUACUCCUUCCAAAGCUAAAUACCGGCUGGAGACCGAUAGCGCACAAGUAGAGUGAUCGAAAGAUGAAAAGCACUUUGAAAAGAGAGUCAAACAGCACGUGAAAUUGUUAAAAGGGAAGCACUCGCUACCAGACUUGGGUUUGGCGGUUCAACCGGGGCCACGCCCCGGGGCAUUCCGCCAGCUCAGGCCAGCAUCAGCUUUCCGUCGGGGGCAAAGACGUCGGGAAUGUGGCUCCCCCUCGGGGGAGUGUUAUAGCCCGGCGUGUCAUACCCUUCGGGGGGCUGAGGUACGCGCUUCUGCAAGGAUGCUGGCGUAAUGGUAGCUAGUGACCCGUCUUGAAACACGGACCAAGGAGUCAACCUUAUGUGCGAGUGCCCGGGCGUAAAACCCCAGCGCGGAAUGAAAGUGAACGUAGGUGAGAGCUUCGGCGCAUCACCGACCGAUCCUGAUGUCCUCGGACGGAUUUGAGUGAGAGCAUAUAGGGUUGGACCCGAAAGAAGAUGAACUAUGCGUGUGUAGGGUGAAGCCAGAGGAAACUCUGGUGGAGGCUCGCAGCGGUUCUGACGUGCAAAUCGAUCGUCAAACAUGCGCAUGGGGGCGAAAGACUA